Molecule: long non-coding RNA, 636 nt
Filed under: Citrus maxima (pomelo)
Lineage: Eukaryota; Viridiplantae; Streptophyta; Magnoliopsida; Sapindales; Rutaceae
Description: long non-coding RNA (CMAX_LNC003412)
Source: RNAcentral
UGUACAGAAGCGUACACAUCAAUUGAUUAACCAUUACAUGUACAAUUUCUUGCUAAAUAAACACCCUCACAUAUACAAAAAAAUAAUAGGGCCAUCACAGUUGAUGUACGCCUGCGCAGUAAUUGUAAUCUUGCAGGAACACACAUGUUUGUAAAAUAAGCACCCUCAGCCAAAAAAUAAGAGGGCCACCCAUCAGCUAACCCAGGUUAGUGAACUCACGGAUUCUACAACAACACUAGUUGCUAUACAAAAUACCAACAAUAUGGGGUGGCAUCACAAAAAAAUUGCCAACCUUUUACCCUAAGUUGCUACAAUGCUACAAAAUGGUUUGGCAAACAAAAAAAAAAAAGACUGCACAUUCAACCUAUAACUUGCGCGCUUCUUGAAUAAGUCGACGCCUGAUCUUGUUAAGCGGAGAUUGCACCAAAUAAAGAGCUAGAAGAAGGCGAGCGUGAUCCAAGUCAUGCUGAAAUAGUUUUAAAAAAAAACCUUUUUUAAAAAGUCGAUCUUCAUCCUGCUGAUAUAAAUCCUUAUUUGUUAAUCUAAUACAGAAAAGAUAUUAUACACCAAUAAGAUACAACUCUACAAACCUGAUAAGAGUCAUGGACAACAAUACAAGGACUAUCCAUAUACUUC